GCAGGAUUUAGGAGUGAAGCUGCUGUGUGACUAUUUUCAGAGUCCAAACUGCAGACUGCAGACUCUGAGGUCAGAUCACUGACUGUGACAUUAAUUUGUAUUCUUUCAAUCCAUAUUGACAGUGGAGCAACAUCAGUUGCUGAAUAAUUUAGAGAUUUGAUGUGAAAAAUGUUUUAUGACUAUGUGAAGUAAAGUUGAACAACGUGCACAUGAAGCCUCUGGUUUCCUCUGGUUCUAUUAAGAAGUGAAAUCAUGAAGACUUUGGAUUCAAUAAUGUCUGAUUUGAUAAAUGUACUAACAUCAGAGCUGACUGAGAUCGGCAGCCUGUUAUUCAUCUGUGCACAUGAACAGCUGUAUCAAUGUUGUGCUGACAUUUGGAGGAUUUAGUGAUGUUGUGAUACUCAUCCUAACCUGAACACAUGUGAGAGGAUUAUACAUUAUUGUUCUUCUUCAUUUAUUCUUUAUUCAGAUUGAGUCUCUGCAGUUUGUCAGAGAUUAGCUGUUCUUCUCUGGCCUCAGCUCUGAAGUCCAACCCCUCCCAUCUCAGAGAGCUGUACCUGAACUACAAUAAGUUGCAGGAUUCAGGAGUGAAGCUGCUGUGUGAUCUUAAGAAGAAUCCAAACUAUCGCCUCCAGACUCUGAGCUGGGCUGAUGAUCUCUGACAGAAUGUGAGCGAUCAGGACGCUGGUGGUGCAGAGAGGAGCAGCUGUGUCCUGAUGAUCCACAGAGGAUGAAUCUCCACCAUCUUGUGGGUGGAGAAAAUCUGCAAGCUGAGGAGAGCUUCAUCCAUCAACGACUGACAGAGAAAUCACAUCAAAGUUCAUUUCAGUUAUAUUUCUAAUGAAUUGGUUCUACACACAUUACAGGAGUGGAAGGUAAAACAUUAAUCAGCUGGUAGAAAUGUUAAGAGGUCAAAAGCUACCAAGAAAUGCUGCAGUUAUUCUUCUCAUGUGAUGAUUAUUUUUAUUCUAUUUCUUACAAAAAGUACAAACCAGAACUUGAUCAGAUGAAUAUGUAAUUAAUUAAAAUCAUAUUCUCUCUAUAGCCUCUUUAAAAGAUGCACUGCAUUCUUAAAAUGUCCUCACCUUUUCAAGCUGAGCUGCAUGUGUGAACAGCGAGUUUCAUUUCAGACUACUCAUUGGACGUUGGCUUGAGAAUUUGUUUUUGACACUGAUCAUUAAAAAAACGUUGUUUAUAUGUUUCUCUUCUGGUCAGCAUCCUGCAUUAACUGCAUUAGAUGUUAAGAUCAAUGGUCGGUCAAUGAGUCAGGUUUCUGAGGUCUACUGCUGGAUUCUUGUCUGACAUUCCAAUUAUAGUCUGUGGAAAUCAGGCUAUUAUCACUAUUAUUUUUGCAUGAAUUUCACAACAUUACAUACAUGUAUAAAAUCCCAUAAACAGUAAAUGGUAAAUGGACUUGAGUUUGUAAAGCGCUUUUUUAGUCUUCUGACUUUUACAGCGCAGGUGCAAGGGAAUUUUGGUAAACUUAUCUUUAUAACAGGAGUAAUUAAAAGCAGAAAGGGGGGAAACUGGCUCUAUAUUUCAGGAAUUCCUGAAUCAGCUCUCUUUGACCUACCAACCUGGUAAUUACAUUCUUUAAGAAAGGUGUGAUUGCCUUUAAGCAUAUGUUCUGCUAUUGAUUGUAUGUAGGUGUAGUUGUCUUCUGUAGUGUUUUAUUGUUUUAAAUGUUUUAAAUGUUUUUUGAUAUAUUGAGAAUGUAGCAGGGAUUUCUGUAUUUAAGGUUAGUGUGAAAUACUCUUCUGGAGAGAAAAUCAUGGGAACUCUUUUCUCACCGAGAUCACGUUAAUUAAAGGUUUCCUGGGUCAUAUCACAUUGAGUUCUUAUUUUUGGAGAAAUAUAUUAUUUUUGGAAGAGAUUUCUCUCACUUUAAUGUUCAACAACUGCCCUCUCCUGUAAAUUCCACUUCUGGGUCCUCCUCUGCACUGGUCACCUCAGAUACUGAUAUAUCUGAUCAAAAUGCUUUUAAAUAAAGAUUUUGUUUCGUUUU
This is a non-coding RNA of Labrus bergylta (ballan wrasse), 2005 nucleotides long. Lineage: Eukaryota; Metazoa; Chordata; Actinopteri; Labriformes; Labridae. The record is from RefSeq and is a predicted model, not a curated record.